RNAcentral lists this ribosomal RNA (519 nucleotides) under uncultured bacterium. Its description in RNAcentral is "bacterial SSU rRNA". It matches the Rfam family "Bacterial small subunit ribosomal RNA", at positions 988 to 1509 of the family's 1533-position model. The record is from RNAcentral.
CCAGAGAACUUAGCAGAGAUGCUUUGGUGCCUUCGGGAACUCUGAGGACAGGUGCUGCAUGGCUGUCGUCAGCUCGUGUUGUGAAAUGUUGGUUAAGUCCGCAAGAGCGCAACCCUUAUCCUUUGUUGCCAGCGGCUCGGCCGGGAACUCAAAGGAGACUGCCGGUGAUAAACCGGAGGAAGGUGGGGAUGACGUCAAGUCAUCAUGGCCCUUACGGCCAGGGCUACACACGUGCUACAAUGGCGCAUACAAAGAGAAGCGACCUCGCGAGAGCAAGCGGACCUCACAAAGUGCGUCGUAGUCCGGAUUGGAGUCUGCAACUCGACUCCAUGAAGUCGGAAUCGCUAGUAAUCGUAGAUCAGAAUGCUACGGUGAAUACGUUCCCGGGCCUUGUACACACCGCCCGUCACACCAUGGGAGUGGGUUGCAAAAGAAGUAGGUAGCUUAACCUUCGGGAGGGCGCUUACCACUUUGUGAUUCAUGACUGGGGUGAAGUCGUAACAAGGUAGGCGUAGCGAG